AGUGAACGCUGGCGGUAGGCCUAACACAUGCAAGUCGAACGGCAGCACAGUAAGAGCUUGCUCUUACGGGUGGCGAGUGGCGGACGGGUGAGGAAUACAUCGGAAUCUACUUUUUCGUGGGGGAUAACGUAGGGAAACUUACGCUAAUACCGCAUACGACCUACGGGUGAAAGCAGGGGAUCUUCGGACCUUGCGCGAUUGAAUGAGCCGAUGUCGGAUUAGCUAGUUGGCGGGGUAAAGGCCCACCAAGGCGACGAUCCGAAGCUGGUCUGAGAGGAUGAUCAGCCACACUGGAACUGAGACACGGUCCAGACUCCUACGGGAGGCAGCAGUGGGGAAUAUUGGACAAUGGGCGCAAGCCUGAUCCAGCCAUACCGCGUGGGUGAAGAAGGCCUUCGGGUUGUAAAGCCCUUUUGUUGGGAAAGAAAAGCAGCAGGUUAAUACCCCGCUGUUCUGACGGUGCCCAAAGAAUAAGCACCGGCUAACUUCGUG
RNAcentral lists this ribosomal RNA (492 nucleotides) under uncultured bacterium. Its description in RNAcentral is "partial 16S ribosomal RNA". It matches the Rfam family "Bacterial small subunit ribosomal RNA", at positions 29 to 507 of the family's 1533-position model. The record is from RNAcentral.